RNAcentral lists this unclassified non-coding RNA (363 nucleotides) under uncultured bacterium. RNAcentral's name for it is "contains 16S-23S intergenic spacer region". The record is from RNAcentral.
UCCAGCUUAAAGCCGGCAGUCUCCAGUGAGAAAUACAACACUGGAUGAGGGUUUCGCUCGUUUACGGACUUAACCGUACAUCUCACGACACGAGCUGACGACGACCGUGCAACACCUGUCUUAGGGUUCCUUGCGGCACGGCCUACUUUCGUAGGCUUUCCCUAGAUGUCAAGCCUGGGUGAGGUUCCCCGCUUGUCGUCGAAUUAAACCACAUGCUCCACCGCUUGUGCGAGCCCCCGUCAAUUCCUUUGAGUUUUAGUCUUGCGACCGUACUUCCCAGGCGGCAGACUUAACGCGUUAGCUACGGCACAAGAAGGGUCGAUACUUCCAAUGCCUAGUCUGCAUCGUUUAGGGCGUGGACUA